This is an RNA transcript of Cottoperca gobio, 3316 nucleotides long. It is a transcript of the gene named doublecortin-like kinase 2a, with no coding region annotated. The transcript is spliced from 18 exons. The record is from RefSeq and is a predicted model, not a curated record. NCBI's taxonomy places the organism in Eukaryota, Metazoa, Chordata, Actinopteri, Perciformes, Bovichtidae.
GGAUGCGAGGUGGAGAAGGAGGCGGCUUGCGGUGUUUGGUGCGGUGCGCCGAAGUUUUGUAAAAUUUGCUUCGUUGUUUGAAAAUCCAACCGGCAGGUCCACUGCAAUGUCUGUCAAACACAGCGGCUCUUUAGUCUACCGGAUAAUCGCGAGCUGACGUUUGGAUUACUGCUCCUGCUGCGUUAUUGUAGGUCGACAAAUCAAUUCAUCCGAUCAGUCAGCUCGGGAUUCAUUUUCUGUGGACUUCAAGAUUAUUCCUCGAGUUGUUUCUUAUUUUGGAAAGUCAUUUUAGCGUUUGGACUUGUCACGAGCAACCGGUGCAGCAAGUAGUCAUACAGUGUACUGCACGCGCAGACUGGAGACGCACACGUGUAUCCUCCGUCCACCGGCUGCGGGCGCAUCGAUCCUUCAGCCCUUUGGAUAAAAGUUUUUUUUUUCUGUUUGGGAUUUCCUUUAAAACAGGAAGAAAAAGAGCCAGUCGACAUGUCGCUAAGCAGAAGUAUUGAGUUUGAACACUUUGAGGAACGAGAGAAGGCGCAUCGGACACCGAGGACUAACUCGGGAUCCGGUUCCCAGCCAGGCUCCAGAGGCAACGGUCUGGUCCCCAGUCCGGCUCACAGUGCGCACUGUAGUUUCUACCGCACACGCACUCUCCAGUCCCUCACGUCCGAGAAAAAAGCCAGAAAAGUGCGGUUUUAUCGCAAUGGAGACAGGUAUUUUAAAGGUUUGGUGUAUGCCAUAUCUAGCGACCGGUUCAGGUCUCUGGAUGCUCUGCUCAUGGAGCUCACAAGGUCCCUGUCGGACAAUGUCAACCUUCCUCAAGGAGUCCGGACGUUAUACGCGUUGGAUGGAGGCAGGAGGAUCACUAGUCUGGAUGACUUAGUAGAGGGUGAGAGUUAUGUGUGUGCCUCAAAUGAAUCCUUCCGACGGGUGGACUACAACAAGAACGUCAACCCCAACUGGGCAGUGGGCUGCAAGACCGGCACAUCACGCUCCCUCUCCUCUCUCAUCCCGCUGAAGAGCGAGCUGCAGCGUGAGUUCAAAGACUUUAUCAAACCCAAACUAGUCACAGUCAUCCGCAGCGGUGUCAAACCCCGCAAAGCGGUACGGAUACUGCUCAACAAGAAGACGGCACACUCCUUCGAGCAGGUGCUCACUGACAUCACGGACGCAAUCAAGUUGGACUCUGGAGCUGUGAGGAGACUGUACACUUUGGAGGGCAAGCAGAUUAUCUGCCUGCAGGACUUCUUCGGGGACGACGAUGUGUUUAUAGCGUGCGGCCCCGAGAAGCACCGCUAUGCACAGGACGACUUUGUUUUGGAUCACAGUGGUAAGGCUUCCACAGCCUUUGUGACUGAAUGCAGAGUGCUAAAGACGUCGCACAGCCGCUCUGCUACUCCAAACCGGACAGCUAGGAGCCCCGGGUCUUCACGACGCAGCAAGUCUCCUGGUGCAGCAAGGCAACCUGUCCACUACUCCACCAGCCAGUCUCCAAUCAAAUCUCCAGUCAACGGUGUCUCCAUCAGCCAGAUCUCCACCAAGUCCUCCACUCCGUCUCCCACCAGCCCCCGAUCCAUCCCCAGUUUUAAGAUCCCUCCAGCUCAUCACAUCUCGUCUUCAAAUGUCAACGGCUUGUUGAACAACCAACAGGAGCAAAGCAAUCAGCUGAGUUCAGAGGCAGUUAAUGGGAACCGCUACCUGCCCGCCUCCACCAUCUCGGAAAAAUACAAGAUCGGGAAGGUCAUCGGAGAUGGGAACUUCGCUGUGGUCAAAGAGUGUGUGGAGAGGUCCACAGGAAAAGAGUUUGCACUGAAGAUCAUCGACAAGGCCAAGUGCACUGGAAAGGAGCACCUCAUAGAAAAUGAGGUCGCAGUGUUGCGGAGGGUGAAACACCCCAACAUCAUCAUGUUGAUCGAGGAGGUGGACACACUCUCUGAACUCUACCUGGUCAUGGAGCUCGUCAAGGGAGGGGAUUUAUUCGAUGCCAUAACCUCCUCGGCCAAAUACACAGAGAGAGACGCCAUUGUGAUGGUGUACAAUCUCGCCGGAGCUCUGAAGUACCUGCACAGCACAAACAUCGUCCACAGAGACAUUAAACCAGAGAACUUGCUGGUGUUUGAGUAUCCAGAUGGCACCAAGUCAUUGAAACUGGGAGACUUUGGCUUGGCCACAGUGGUGGAAGGACCUUUAUAUACCGUAUGUGGAACUCCUACAUAUGUGGCUCCAGAGAUCAUCUCCGAGUCUGGUUAUGGUCUGAAGGUGGAUAUCUGGGCUGCAGGUGUCAUCACCUACAUCCUUCUGUGUGGAUUCCCUCCAUUCAGAAGUGAGAAUAACAUGCAAGAGGAUCUGUUUGACCAGAUCCUUCUGGGGCGACUGGACUUUCCCAGUCCUUACUGGGACAACAUCACUGACUCAGCAAAGGAGCUGAUUGGGAAGAUGCUGCAGGUCAACGCUGAGGCUCGAUACACAGCACAGGACAUCCUCUCCCACCCUUGGGUCACGGACGACGCAGUCAUGGAGAACAACAUGAAGAUGGAGGUCACAGGUAAACUGAAGACGCACUUUAACACUGCGCCUAAGCUCAACAUCACAACAGCUGGAGUGUCCGUCAUCAUGGGUGGUGAAUGUCUGACCCAAAUACAGAAGAUUGCGCUCCUUCUAAUUCACGGGCCAAGAAUAUCUGACCUCAAUCAUCGUCCAAGAAGACAUUAAAGACAACUUAUGCUGCUGUAAACAUGUCAGACAGGAUUUUAGAGAUGGAAUGAUGGAAAAACGUGGACAGGGCAGAAGAAGUCAUUCCUGUAGCACACAUCCUUCCUGUCUGUCUGUCUCAAGCCUCACUCAUUUCCUGUUGUACAGUUUGACUUCCUCCACUCUUCAUGUCAUCAGGUCACACUCCCCAUCAGCCCUCUCUCUUCAGUCUGUCUGUCUGUCUGAACUGAAAGCAGGAAUUGGGGGAAGGGAAAAGUGUCUAAUUAGAAAUUUGAUUUGAUCUUUGCUGCAAAGAGCCUCAUUCCUUGUUGUAAAUCUCAUUUGACAGUUUGAGGUGUAAACACGGGCCCUGGCCUCGGCCCCUCCUCCUCCUCCUCCUCCUCUCCAUCCUCUUCCUCCUCCCUCCUCCUCACCCUUCCCUCACACCCGACCCAGGACCAAAGGGGACGCCUGGAGCUGAGAGCCGGUGCACAGCUCUAGAUAAGAAGACCCUCCAGCUCACCACUCGUCGUCGUCGUCCGCGACCCCAAACUGUGCCAUGUCCACCAUCGUCUGCUGGCAAACAAGUCCCAUCUGCCCUUCCAGUCGAACCAGCCUCGCCAAC